UUACGGGAGGCAGCAGUAGGGAAUUUUGGACAAUGGGCGCAAGCCUGAUCCAGCCAUGCCGCGUGAGUGAAGAAGGCCUUCGGGUUGUAAAGCUCUUUCGGCGGGGAAGAAAUGGCACGGGUUAAUACCCUGUGUCGAUGACGGUACCCGCAUAAGAAGCACCGGCUAACUACGUGCCAGCAGCCGCGGUAAUACGUAGGGUGCGAGCGUUAAUCGGAAUUACUGGGCGUAAAGCGUGCGCAGGCGGUUAUAUAAGUCAGAUGUGAAAUCCCCGGGCUCAACCUGGGAACUGCAUUUGAGACUGUAUGACUAGAGUUUGGCAGAGGGGGGUGGAAUUCCACGUGUAGCAGUGAAAUGCGUAGAGAUGUGGAGGAACACCGAUGGCGAAGGCAGCCCCCUGGGCCAAUACUGACGCUCAUGCACGAAAGCGUGGGGAGCAAACAGGAUUAGAAACCCCAGUAGUCCG
This 466-nucleotide ribosomal RNA is filed under the name uncultured bacterium. Its description in RNAcentral is "bacterial SSU rRNA". It matches the Rfam family "Bacterial small subunit ribosomal RNA", at positions 339 to 797 of the family's 1533-position model. The record is from RNAcentral.